Molecule: unclassified non-coding RNA, 301 nt
Filed under: Agaricales sp.
Lineage: Eukaryota; Fungi; Basidiomycota; Agaricomycetes; Agaricales
Description: partial contains 5.8S ribosomal RNA, internal transcribed spacer 2, and large subunit ribosomal RNA
Source: RNAcentral
CGCACCUUGCGCCCUUUGGUAUUCCGAAGGGCAUGCCUGUUUGAGUGUCAUUAAAUUCUCAAACUUCAACGUUGGUUUUACUAGCGUUUGAAGCUUUGGAACGUGAGGGUUUUGCUGGCUUCCUUCAGUGGAUGGUCUGCUCCCUUUAAAAGCAUUAGUGGGAUCCAGUACCACCUUGGUUGUGAUAAUUUAUCAUCGAUCGAGCUCUGGUAUGGGUUUAGGAACCUGCUUAUAACCGUCUUCGGACAACAAACUUUAUUGACUUGACCUCAAAUCAGGUAGGACUACCCGCUGAACUUAA